Molecule: long non-coding RNA, 394 nt
Filed under: Hordeum vulgare
Lineage: Eukaryota; Viridiplantae; Streptophyta; Magnoliopsida; Poales; Poaceae
Description: long non-coding RNA (HVUL_LNC017642)
Source: RNAcentral
UGAUCCCUAUGACUCGGCCACUAACUGGACCGGCCAGUAAUCUGCUAACUGCAUCCACAAAGCUAGCUAACUACUACCUACAUACACGUCAUGCUCUGCACUAGCACAACUUCUUCUCAAUGGCUUCUUGACUUGGCCAGCAUCCGAUGCAUACGCACAUAACUAACUAGGCUGACCCACUGCUAGCUUGCAUGCACCCACAUGAUCUCAUCUUAUACGAGUACACAUGCCGCAGCUUAGUAAAUGGACAAGGCUACAUGUAUGACUCAACGCAAAACAAAACAAACAUGAUGUAAUGACCUAUACAACAAGGUUAACUCUAACAAUCACCUUCUUAACCUUGUUGUCCCUUAUUCCACUUUUGAAGCCCGUGGCCAUCGAUGUCGUCGGUGCA